CUACGGGAGGCUGCAGUAAGGAAUAUUGGUCAAUGGGCGCAAGCCUGAACCAGCCAUGCCGCGUGCAGGAAGAAGGCCUAUUGGGUUGUAAACUGCUUUUUUAUGGGAGUAAUAGACUUUUGCGAAAGUUGAUGAAAUUACCAUAAGAAUAAGUACCGGCUAACUCCGUGCCAGCAGCCGCGGUAAUACGGAGGGUACAAGCGUUGUUCGGAUUUACUGGGUUUAAAGGGUGCGUAGGCGGCGCGACAAGUCAAUGGUGAAAUCCUAUGGCUCAACCAUAGAACUGCUGUUGAAACUGUCGUGCUAGAGUAAAGAAGAGGUAAGUGGAAUUUAUGGUGUAGCGGUGAAAUGCUUAGAUAUCAUAAGGAAGACCGAUAGCGAAGGCAACUUACUGGUAUUUUACUGACGCUGAGGCACGAAAGCGUGGGGAGCGAACAGGGUUAGAUACCCGCGUAGUC
Molecule: ribosomal RNA, 458 nt
Filed under: uncultured bacterium
Lineage: Bacteria
Description: partial 16S ribosomal RNA
Rfam family: Bacterial small subunit ribosomal RNA
Source: RNAcentral